This 761-nucleotide ribosomal RNA is filed under the name uncultured bacterium. RNAcentral describes it as "bacterial SSU rRNA". It matches the Rfam family "Bacterial small subunit ribosomal RNA", at positions 28 to 776 of the family's 1533-position model. The record is from RNAcentral.
AUUGAACGCUGGCGGCAGGCUUAACACAUGCAAGUCGAACGGUAACAGGAAGAAAGCUUGCUUUCUUUGCUGACGAGUGGCGGACGGGUGAGUAAUGCUUGGGAAUCUGCCUUAUGGAGGGGGAUAACUACGGGAAACUGUAGCUAAUACCGCGUAAUAUCUUCGGAUUAAAGUGUGGGACCUUCGGGCCACAUGCCAUAAGAUGAGCCCAAGUGAGAUUAGGUAGUUGGUGAGGUAAAGGCUCACCAAGCUGACGAUCUCUAGCUGGUUUGAGAGGAUGACCAGCCACACUGGAACUGAGACACGGUCCAGACUCCUACGGGAGGCAGCAGUGGGGAAUAUUGCACAAUGGGCGCAAGCCUGAUGCAGCCAUGCCGCGUGAAUGAAGAAGGCUUUCGGGUUGUAAAGUUCUUUCAGUGGUGAGGAAGGGUUAAUAUCUAAUAGGUAUUAACAUUGACGUUAGCCACAGAAGAAGCACCGGCUAACUCCGUGCCAGCAGCCGCGGUAAUACGGAGGGUGCGAGCGUUAAUCGGAAUAACUGGGCGUAAAGGGCACGCAGGCGGUUGUCUAAGUCAGAUGUGAAAGCCCCGAGCUUAACUUGGGAAUUGCAUUUGAUACUGGGCGACUAGAGUCCUCUAGGGAGGGGUAGAAUUCCACGUGUAGCGGUGAAAUGCGUAGAGAUGUGGAGGAAUACCGAAGGCGAAGGCAGCCCCUUGGAGAGAGACUGACGCUGAGGUGCGAAAGCGUGGGUAGCAAACAGG